GCUGAGCGGUUCGUGUUCGCGUGACCAACCGACCCCACAGCCGGAAGGAGCCGAGACGGGUUUCAGCCAAGAGUGGCUUUGAAACGUUUCCAGUCUGCUUCACGAUCUCCCUGCAUCGGCAACCCCGUUCCUCUCCACCGCCUCCGUCCCCGGGACGCGGGGUUCUUUAGGGCCUGACCUCAAGACCGAGUUUAAAACGGGGUUUAACUGAGCUCGGGUUGCAUCUCUCCUGUUGUAUUUCUUCUUUCGCCCACAGGGAGGCUCUGAGGAGGACGCAGCCCGAUCCCAGCGCAGCCUCUCUCCUCUGAGCAGCCGAGACUGGGAGAGACUGGGAAGGAGGAAGCCUACUGGUGCCGCGGCCGGCGUGGGAUGCUGCUGCCCGAGCCGCCGCGGAAAGGGGAAGAGAAGGCGGCAGAGAUGAGGGCGCUUCUGGGCAGCGUUUACUGCUGCUCCCUGUAGUAAAUGGAAGAAACUUCCUCCUUUCCCCCCACUUUUUCCCUCAAAUCCACCCUCCUGCGCUCUCCUCCAACUUGGCUGGACACGAGUGCCCAGGACAGGCUAGGAGAAGGGGAGGACCCCUUGUUUUCCUGUUGAUGGGGUUGCUGAGAGCUUGAGGGCGGUAAAAAGGGUGGGAGUGGGGGAUUAAAACGAAAAUUCUCUGGGGGUUGUUGGAUUGAGCGCUCCUCCAAGCCUCCCCCCAAGCUCUCUGAACCCCUUGCGUGCUUCCACCUUGCUCCAAGAGUGCUGUAAAAGUUUCAAAACUGUUCUAUUCCCACAGGUCAAGUGAAAAUAGGGGGGAAGGAAAUGCCCUGCAGGCCUUUUGGAGGAGAGGCAACGGCAGGAGCAUCCCGUCGCGUGUGCCAGGACGCGGGGACAUCUUGCAGCCAAGCUCCUGCUCUUCCCCUCCCUAGCUUUUCUGCGGAGCGGGCAGCUCUCAAACACUGUCAGCCUCCUCCACGAUGGGUGCUGAGAAGGGGAACACCUCCUGCAGCAGGGACGGAGUUACCGGGCUGGCGUUGGGAAGGCACUGGAGAGGGACUAAGCGCUGCUGAGGCUGCUCUGAGGGCACGUGUCACCCCUCCCUGUGGCCACCUCUGCUGGGACGCGGUGGUUGGGCCCAGCCCAAAGGGCAGCAGUGGAUGAGUCCCAGCUUUAGGGGAGAGCGGAGCAUCCCCUCUCCUCUCCCUGUGCAAACCCCCUGCCAAUGCUGGCCGUUAAAUCCUCCCUGGGGACGCGGCCCGCAGAGAUGCCUGCAAGCUGGCCGCAACACCCCGGCACUGAACUGAGAGGGGGACGGAGGCCAGCGGGAGCCGCAGGGACCUGAGAGCCGUGGCGAUGCCGAAGGGGAAGCAGCCCUUCUCUUCCGGCCCAGGCGGUGGCUGCUCGACGAGGACAGCAUUUGUCAGCACAAGCACGAGCUUUGCUUGCUGAUCGAGGUGCCCAGACCAGUCUCCGAGGCUGUUGGCUUGGCCUGGGGCACAUCCCUGGCUCUUGCCUCUCCCUGAACAGCAGCCAAGCCCUUUGCCAGAAGAACCCAAAUGCCGUGAGUGAUUUAGCCUUGUUUUCGGGUGAAAAGACUCCUGUAGAUUUGCAUAAUGCUCGCAGGGCUCACGCUACCGGCAGGUAUCUGUGCCGUUGCCAGAUUGUUUGUUCAAGGGAUCUAAUCCUCCCUUGUCAGAGCAGUGUUAGGGCAUACUUCCACGUUCACGCUCCUCAACGCUUUGGAACCAGCUGUGGGCUUUAUUGAUUUAUUUAUUUCUACCACCCACCCCCCGCAAGUCCCCUUCACAGCUGGGCUCCUCCCAGCCCUACCCCAGGGGGAUUGCUGUCCCCAAAUGCCAUGGUGUUGGGAUUUGAAGGCAGCUUUUACCAAUCCUGGUGGUGUCUGGGAGGAAGAUUUGAUCCCAGCAAGGUUGUGUUUCCCGGCAAAUAAUUCAGCUUUGACCCAGGGAGUCCAGAGGGUGCAAAGCACCGGGAGAAACGCUCCUGGCUGGAGGCACCACAGGAAAGACCGAGGCUGUUUCCCGCAGCAGGGACACGUGUAUGGGUGAUGAGAGGCUGGGAGAGGAGAGCACGAGCUUCCAAAUUGGUGGAAGCAGGACAAGAGAGGGAUGGAGGGGUGUGGUGGGAAGCUGGGGAGCAGCGAGGGGACCGAGCUCACCCGUGG
Egretta garzetta (little egret) is the source of this 2167-nucleotide long non-coding RNA. RefSeq lists it as uncharacterized. The record is from RefSeq and is a predicted model, not a curated record. The transcript is spliced from 3 exons. Lineage: Eukaryota; Metazoa; Chordata; Aves; Pelecaniformes; Ardeidae.